CCUAAAUCACUUAAAACCGUCACAGCUUUAAGGUUAGCUAUAAAAGAUAGUCUUAAAGAAGCUACAUUAGUUUGCACGACAGUCACUCUCUAGGAAAACCACGUUGGGACACAAAGACAGAAGUCUCAAAAUGAAGAAACGGUCCAUGGAGUUUAAUUCUGCCCUGAAUGUAUCGCCUAUCCCACGGCAGUUAUUCCAGUCACGGUUAGGCUUCUAUGCAUGCAUCUUUCCGUCGAAGAAAAAAAAAAAAAAAAAGCCUGUCAAUCUGCUUUCUAUCAGUGCCACACACGGUCCUAAAAGGCGUCGUGACUUACUGUAUUUUCUUGGUCCUUGUCGGCCAGGUGUCGGUUGUUGCACCGUCAAAACCGCUCUGGUUUAAUGUCAACCCCGUCGGAAAUAAUGUUGGUAAAGUUUGUUUUCUGCUCUCCGCCGCUCCCUUCAUUCACAAAGCAGCACUUUCUCCCCCCCGGACUGUGGGCGGUCAGACUGACUGAGGGGGAAGAUGCCUGCCAGGGGAAGCUCUCUCUCUUUUUUUCAACGGCUCAGUACACCAUUGAGCCAUCCACAGCUGAAGUCUCGCUGAAGAUACAACACAGUAAACCCUACGAAACGACUCAAGAGAGCAAAAUAACACGGCGGCCUUAAGUUCAUCCGAAGAAGCCUUGUAAAAGACCUGAAGAGGGCCCCUGACCCCACUGUGAAUUAGGGGAGAGCGGCUUCAGUGGUAACUCUUCAAUGAUCAGAGUCCCGCUCAACAUCAGAUUAUUAUUCAAACCUACAAUAACAUAAUUUGGCUACUUGGGGGCAGUGGAAACAAUUUGUGAACACAACAUUGACUUACCAUCACCUUGUACUGUGUUCCUGGUUACCUGAUGAAUGCUGUACAUCGCUGGGAUACAUCAAGAGAUGGUGGGAACCUGUCACUUGACAAAAGAUACGUCGUCAUUCAUGCCAUGACCUCAAUGAAAGUUUGCAUAACGGAGGAAGAUUUUGUGACAGUGUCCACUAGCGUGUGCAAUGACCUUGAUGCCCAGCUUGGCAGCAAUCGAGUGACAACAUACCUGAAGGUACACUGGCUUCCACAUGUAGCACUAUGGGCCAAUUUUGGACGGCUGUUCGAGCACAACAGCAGUGACACCAACAACAAGGCAGAGAGUUAUCAUUUCCAAAGUUUCCGAGAUCACAAUCCUAUCUCCCUAACACUGACUACCUGGACGAGUUGGCAGAUGCAGGAAAAUUGAGGGUCUCCUCGUCAGCAUCAACAUCUACAGCAGCCAAGAACACAGUGGGACAGCAGAUCCUGAUAAAUGAGCAAGGAAAGGGCUCUGUGCAAACAGGGGCAGACCCCAACUCCUAUUCAACCAUGAACACUGUGGAUCUAGUCAGGUUGCAGUGUGACUGUGGAUUGUAUGAUAAGGGAAAUGUAUGCACACAUAUUGCAUCAGCAUACACUGAAAUGUGUUGAUAUUGCACAGCUACGUGCUCACAUGGCUAGAGAUAUUGUUGCCAAAAAACAAUACCACGUUGAUGGUGAUUUCAUCACUGUUCACCCCACUGAUGUAAGUGCCACAUUUGUAUUUACUGCCUUUUGUACCUGUGCUGUCAACAGUUACGGUCAAAAGUGUGUGUGCUUACAUGUUGUUGACUGCCUGCAAACCACCAACAAUACACAUUCUACAUGUCCCACUGCUGGAAGCAAAAAUUAGUUUGGGCCAACAAAUGUCAAUGCACAAGUUCAACUUCAGUCCAUGUUGACAGAUUUAUUGGAGUGGAGCAAAUCAGAAAGUUACAUGUAUAGUAAUGACUUGUACACAACAGUGAAGAGGGCACACACAGUGGCCUUCAAUCGUUUUGGCAUUGUGUCAAGAAAACGAAAAAUACAUGCACUUCAUGCUUAUUGCCAGCGGAUUGAGCAAGCCAAACGAGAGCUUUACAAAAAGCGCAAAACAAGAAGAUUCAAGUGAUAAAUAAUCCAAUAAAUAGAUGUAACCAAAAAAUAUUGUUUAAUAGCAUUUUUUAGCUGUGGCUUCACUGUGAUUUAACAGUGUACAGUGAACAGUUUGCUGCACAUAGCAUAACUUUAUUUCCGUUACAGUGCCAUAAUUCAAUUUUCAAGAGCCCUUGUUUUUGCAACAAGGCACUCUCUAAUGAUCUGAAAUACAACCUGGCAUACUUGGGGUCCAAGUGUGUGUGUGUGAUCUUGGAAUAGCUGCCCAUGUUUUUGGUCAACACUUUUUCGACUCUGUCAAGUUCAGCACUGUAAACAAACAAAUAAUCC
Perca flavescens (yellow perch) is the source of this 2278-nucleotide long non-coding RNA. RefSeq lists it as uncharacterized. The record is from RefSeq and is a predicted model, not a curated record. The transcript has 7 exons. Lineage: Eukaryota; Metazoa; Chordata; Actinopteri; Perciformes; Percidae.